This is a ribosomal RNA of Bos indicus x Bos taurus (hybrid cattle), 85 nucleotides long. The record is from Ensembl. NCBI's taxonomy places the organism in Eukaryota, Metazoa, Chordata, Mammalia, Artiodactyla, Bovidae.
GUCUAUGGCCAUACCACCCUGAACAUGCCUGAUCUCAUCUGAUCUUGGAAGCUAAGCAGGAUUGGACCUCGUUAGGUGCUUGACU